UAACGCGUGGGCAACCUGCCCCGUGCCGGGGGAUACCGCCUGGAAACAGGCGCUAAUACCGCAUAACACAUAGGUGUCGCAUGGCAUUUAUGUCAAAGAUUUAUCGCUGAGAGAUGGCCUCGCGUCUGAUUAGCUAGUUGGUAGGGUAACGGCCUACCAAGGCGACGAUCAGUAGCCGGACUGAGAGGUUGGCCGGCCACAUUGGGACUGAGAUACGGCCCAGACUCCUACGGAAGGCAGCAG
RNAcentral lists this ribosomal RNA (243 nucleotides) under uncultured bacterium. Its description in RNAcentral is "partial 16S ribosomal RNA". It matches the Rfam family "Bacterial small subunit ribosomal RNA", at positions 111 to 354 of the family's 1533-position model. The record is from RNAcentral.